This 463-nucleotide ribosomal RNA is filed under the name uncultured bacterium. Its description in RNAcentral is "bacterial SSU rRNA". It matches the Rfam family "Bacterial small subunit ribosomal RNA", at positions 330 to 792 of the family's 1533-position model. The record is from RNAcentral.
GCCAGACUCCUACGGGAGGCAGCAGUGAGGAAUAUUGGUCAAUGGGCGAGAGCCUGAACCAGCCAAGUCGCGUGAGGGAGUACUGCCCUAUGGGUUGUAAACCUCUUUUGUCGGGGAGCAAAAGCCGGACGUGUCCGGCUGUGAGAGUACCCGAAGAAAAAGCAUCGGCUAACUCCGUGCCAGCAGCCGCGGUAAUACGGAGGAUGCGAGCGUUAUCCGGAUUUAUUGGGUUUAAAGGGUGCGUAGGCGGAAUGCCAAGUCAGCGGUAAAAUCGGGGGGCUCAACCGCGCUCCGCCGUUGAAACUGGCGGCCUCGAGUGGGCGAGAAGUAUGCGGAAUGCGUGGUGUAGCGGUGAAAUGCAUAGAUAUCACGCAGAACUCCGAUUGCGAAGGCAGCAUACCGGCGCCCUACUGACGCUGGGGCACGAAAGUGCGGGUAUCGAACAGGAUUAGAUACCCGCGUA